CCUACGGGAGGCAGCAGUGAGGAAUAUUGGUCAAUGGCCGGAAGGCUGAACCAGCCAUGCCGCGUGAAGGUCAGUGCCCUAUGGGCGUUAAACUUCUUUUGUGCGGGAGCAAUAAUGGUCACGUGUGGAGACGAGAGUACCGUACGAAUAAGCAUCGGCUAACUCCGUGCCAGCAGCCGCGGUAAUACGGGGGAUGCAAGCGUUAUCCGGAUUUAUUGGGUUUAAAGGGGGGGUAGGCUGUGAGGUAAGUCAGCGGUGAAAUGCCCCCGCACAACGGGGUGAAGUGCCAUUGUUACUGCCUGGCUGGAAGGCGGAUGCCGUGGGAGGAAGGUGUGGUGUAGCGGUGAAAUGCAUAGAUAUCACACAGAACACCGAUUGCGAAGGCAUCUCACGAAUCCGCGAUUGACGCUGAUGCACGAAAGCGUGGGUAUCAAACAGGAUUAGAUACCCUAGUAGUC
RNAcentral lists this ribosomal RNA (458 nucleotides) under uncultured bacterium. Its description in RNAcentral is "partial 16S ribosomal RNA". It matches the Rfam family "Bacterial small subunit ribosomal RNA", at positions 338 to 795 of the family's 1533-position model. The record is from RNAcentral.